AAUAGAUACCCUGGUAGUCCACGCCGUAAACGAUGAGUGCUAAGUGUUAGGGGGUUUCCGCCCCUUAGUGCUGCAGCUAACGCAUUAAGCACUCCGCCUGGGGAGUACGGUCGCAAGACUGAAACUCAAAGGAAUUGACGGGGGCCCGCACAAGCGGUGGAGCAUGUGGUUUAAUUCGAAGCAACGCGAAAAACCUUACCAGGUCUUGACAUCCCAUUGACCACUAUGGAGACAUAGUUUUCCCUUCGGGGACAACGGUGACAGGUGGUGCAUGGUUGUCGUCAGCUCGUGUCGUGAGAUGUUGGGUUAAGUCCCGCAACGAGCGCAACCCUUGUUCUUAGUUGCCAUCAUUUAGUUGGGCACUCUAAGGAGACUGCCGGUGACAAACCGGAGGAAGGUGGGGAUGACGUCAAAUCAUCAUGCCCCUUAUGACCUGGGCUACACACGUGCUACAAUGGACGGUACAAACGGUUGCCGACCCGCGAGGGGGAGCUAAUCCGAUAAAACCGUUCUCAGUUCGGAUUGUAGGCUGCAACUCGCCUACAUGAAGGACC
This 554-nucleotide ribosomal RNA is filed under the name uncultured bacterium. RNAcentral describes it as "bacterial SSU rRNA". It matches the Rfam family "Bacterial small subunit ribosomal RNA", at positions 777 to 1333 of the family's 1533-position model. The record is from RNAcentral.